AUUACCGUAUUGAUUAUUUUUACUUCCUCAUUUUUAGUUUCACUGCUGUGGCCUACAUAACUACAGCGACUACACCUCUACGAAUUUGCCUUUGCCGGCUAGUUGCUUUUAUACGGAAAACGACGCCUGGAUUUAUUAUACUGAUGGCUGUUUGGAGAAAGUAAAAUUUGCUGCUGGUAGAGCAAGUGAUGCAUUGUCCAUUGCUGGCUUUCUGCUUACUGCGACACAGGUGAUGGCCUUAAUAUUUUCAUCCGCUCUCUCUUUAGCGUAUUAUCGAACUGGAGAGUACCAAGAGUUGUAGUAAAAAGCGAAAUUUUAGGUAGACAUAGAAUAUUAUCUUUACAUCACCUAAAAACUUGCAGAUUUAAGCACUUCUAAAUCUUGAUAUUUUUCUAUCAAAAAUAAUUUAUUAAAAAUUAGCGUAUACAAAUUAAUAAUGUUAAA
Molecule: long non-coding RNA, 444 nt
Organism: Rhagoletis zephyria (snowberry fruit fly)
Lineage: Eukaryota; Metazoa; Arthropoda; Insecta; Diptera; Tephritidae
Source: RefSeq, a predicted model, not a curated record